GAUGAACGCUGGCGGCGUGCCUAAUACAUGCAAGUCGAGCGAACGGACGAGAAGCUUGCUUCUCUGAUGUUAGCGGCGGACGGGUGAGUAACACGUGGAUAACCUACCUAUAAGACUGGGAUAACUUCGGGAAACCGGAGCUAAUACCGGAUAAUAUUUUGAACCGCAUGGUUCAAAAGUGAAAGACGGUCUUGCUGUCACUUAUAGAUGGAUCCGCGCUGCAUUAGCUAGUUGGUAAGGUAACGGCUUACCAAGGCAACGAUGCAUAGCCGACCUGAGAGGGUGAUCGGCCACACUGGAACUGAGACACGGUCCAGACUCCUACGGGAGGCAGCAGUAGGGAAUCUUCCGCAAUGGGCGAAAGCCUGACGGAGCAACGCCGCGUGAGUGAUGAAGGUCUUCGGAUCGUAAAACUCUGUCAUUAGGGAAGAACAUAUGUGUAAGUAACUGUGCACAUCUUGACGGUACCUAAUCAGAAAGCCACGGCUAACUACGUGCCAGCAGCCGCGGUAAUACGUAGGUGGCAAGCGUUAUCCGGAAUUAUUGGGCGUAAAGCGCGCGUAGGCGGUUUUUUAAGUCUGAUGUGAAAGCCCACGGCUCAACCGUGGAGGGUCAUUGGAAACUGGAAAACUUGAGUGCAGAAGAGGAAAGUGGAAUUCCAUGUGUAGCGGUGAAAUGCGCAGAGAUAUGGAGGAACACCAGUGGCGAAGGCGACUUUCUGGUCUGUAACUGACGCUGAUGUGCGAAAGCGUGGGGAUCAAACAGGAUUAGAUACCCUGGUAGUCCACGCCGUAAACGAUGAGUGCUAAGUGUUAGGGGGUUUCCGCCCCUUAGUGCUGCAGCUAACGCAUUAAGCACUCCGCCUGGGGAGUACGACCGC
This 880-nucleotide ribosomal RNA is filed under the name uncultured Staphylococcus sp. Its description in RNAcentral is "bacterial SSU rRNA". It matches the Rfam family "Bacterial small subunit ribosomal RNA", at positions 28 to 889 of the family's 1533-position model. Lineage: Bacteria; Bacillati; Bacillota; Bacilli; Caryophanales; Staphylococcaceae. The record is from RNAcentral.